GUGAUGGUUAUGGCUAGGAUAUGAUCAGACAUCAACAGUUGAGUGGGUUAACAUUGCUUUCUAGUUAAAAUAGAGAGUCCAGAUAGGUAUAGUUGUGUUGGUACACUGUAAAGCUAUAGACCUAAGUUGGUGGCUGCCUGAUUGUGAAGCAAGAAUGCCUCAAGUUUUAAGGAAAUGUGAAAGAUUCUAUCAAAGGAGGGGGAAAUAACUAACUGGCCAACUCAUGCUUUUUGAAACCAAACCUUUAUGAUGCCAUUUGCACAUGCGCGUCAUCUGACAGGCAACAAGUCUUGGUUGUUGAUUCUCUCCUGUGCGUUCUGUGCAGUGAGAGCGGAUACUUCCAAUGGCUGUUGUACCUAUUGAUUGUAAUGUGCAUCUGAUAAUUCUCAUUCUCUUAGGCUUUCCUAUAUUGAAAGACUUGUUUUAAUGUGCAUUAAAUUUCUUUACAGGCUGAAUGGAUUAGAAGAGAUGGCCACUUCCUGACGGGUCACGUCUCUGGACGUCAUAACAUAACUGAGGCGGUGAUUCGGCUUAAUGCACUGAACUCCCAUGCUCAUAGUCGGCGCAUUGCCAUUGAUCACCAGAGCGUAAUUUUUUUUUUUAGUUUUCUACACCGUCACCAAGAGGUUAAGAUCCCUAAAUUUGACUAAGCAAUUCAAGUAUGAAGAUCCUACAACAGAGAUCUAACUUUGUAUUAAAUGAUCCCUAAAUGACUAAGCAAUUUACAUAUGAAGAUCCUAAAGCAGAGAUCUAACCAUGUAUUAAAUGGUGGUUGUGCAUUUUUUCUUCAGUGAACCUUAUGAACAUCACAUCAGUUAAGGCUGAAUGGAUUAGAAGAGAUGGCCACUUUAACCCCUUCCCGACGGGUCACGUUUCUGGACGUCAUAACAAACCGCUCGAAAUGUGGCAUGUGGCUGUAUUCCGUGGCGGCUCACCAAAGCGCUCUGAGGCGGUCAUUCAGCUUGAUGUACCGAACUCCCGCGCCCAAAGUUGGCGCCAGAGUGUAGUUUUUUUUUUCUACAACCAUCGCCAAGGGGUUAAGAUCCCAAAAUGACUAAGCAUUAAAAGUAUGAAGAUCCUGUGGCCUAGAUCCAACCUUGUAUAAAAUGGUGGUGGUGCAUUUUUUCUUCAGUGAACCUUAUGAACAUCACAUCAGUUAAGGCUGAAGAAAAUCUAUGCAAAAGUUGGGAGAACAUGACCAAUGAAAGGUCCCCAAAUAAAUAAGUAUUAGACGAAUGAAGAACCAGUCGGAGAAACCCAUAUUAUUGUAAAAUGGCUGAAUGUAAAUGAAUUCAACGUAAGAAUUGGAAGACAGCCAGUGAAAGAUCCCUAAAUGACUAAGCAAUUUACAUAUGAAGAUCCUAAAGCAGAGAUCUAACCUUGUAUUAAAUGGUGGUGGUGCAUUUUUUCUUCAGUGAACCUUAUGAACAUCACAUCAGUUAAGGCUGAAGAAAAUCUAUGCAAAAGUUGGGAGAACAUGACCAAUGAAAGAUCCCUAGAUGAAUAAGCAUUAGAAGAAUGAAGAACUUGGAGAGCAACUUUAUGUGAAAUGAAGGUGGUGUCUCUUCAGUGAACUUAUAGUCACAUGUCAGUUCAGGCAAAACAAAAUCUAUAUUUGAAAUACAUUCAAGUAAAAUUAGGUUUGGAAACCUAAUUUUGUGAUUUGCACACGUACAUAAUUUGACCGGCAAUUCUUGGUGGGUGCUUCUCUUCUGUGCCCUCCGAUACCAGAAUGGAAAAAUAUUGAAAAAUUAAGAUCAGUUCUGGAGAGGCAGACCAUGUAUAAAAAGAAAAUGGAUGUCUUCUCUUUGUUGUUUAUUGCAGUCCUUAGUAUUUUAAGAUUGGUGUGUGGCCAAAAGUAAGUGGAAUGUAAGUAUGGAAUGUUAUAAUCUGCUUUAUUGGGGGAAAGUUUUAGCAACUUCAGUGAUUUUGUAUUAAUUUUCCGAAAUUAUUGAUGUUUAUUAUUACAGUAACACAUUAUUGCUCUUUCAUGAUACAAUUAUUAACCAAUGACAGCCAUGUGGGUGUAUGUGUGGCAUGCAGCCACAUUAGCUUUGCAGCCACCCUGCCUGCUCAAGCCAUCAUGCCAGACAAAUACCAAGCAGGGCUGCUGGCUAAGUGUUGCUAUCUAUAAACAGUAUUGACUAGUGUCCCCCAUAUUGUUAACUAAAUGAUAAUUUUGGGGAGGAACUUAGCAUUGUUUAUAUAUAUAUAGGAGUAGCAUCAGCCUCCACCUAAAUUGUUUUAUAUGUAGAAGUCGAUAGGACGAGUGGAAGUAUAAGUAAGUUGAAGUGAUUUAUGAAUAUUUGAAUAUCCUUAUUUGGUAUUCUAUGUAAGGCUCAGUAGUUAAUUAAUAAACUAGCCAAAAGCAGUACAUUUCCCCAGAAUGCUGCAUUUUGAAUGUUCUAUUGUGAAACUGAUAGAAUGCCUUAUAUGAUGAUGAUUGAUUAAUAAAAAUAUGCAAAACUA
This is a long non-coding RNA of Penaeus chinensis, 2469 nucleotides long. RefSeq lists it as uncharacterized. The record is from RefSeq and is a predicted model, not a curated record. The transcript is spliced from 17 exons. NCBI's taxonomy places the organism in Eukaryota, Metazoa, Arthropoda, Malacostraca, Decapoda, Penaeidae.